Molecule: long non-coding RNA, 231 nt
Organism: Zea mays
Lineage: Eukaryota; Viridiplantae; Streptophyta; Magnoliopsida; Poales; Poaceae
Exons: 3
Source: RefSeq, a predicted model, not a curated record
GGUCUUCCUGAUGAGCUUAAAAGCUGGAGGAGUCGCGCUGAAUCUCACUGUAGCAUCUCAUGUGUUCCUGAUGGACCCUUGGUGGAAUCCAGCGGUCGAGAACCAAGCGCAGGACCGUAUCCACCGAAUUGGGCAGUUCAAGCCAAUCAAGAGCACUAGGUUUGUGAUAAAGGACACGGUUGAAGAGCGCAUACUGCAACUGCAACAGAAGAAGCAGCUGGUGUUUAAAGG